RNAcentral lists this long non-coding RNA (494 nucleotides) under Populus trichocarpa (black cottonwood). RNAcentral's name for it is "long non-coding RNA (PTRI_LNC004147)". Lineage: Eukaryota; Viridiplantae; Streptophyta; Magnoliopsida; Malpighiales; Salicaceae. The record is from RNAcentral.
UUACAAGUUUAUUUAUAAAUAUAAAAUCCUAGACAAUUAAACAUUUAAACUAAAUAAAAAACUAAUUCUAAUUAAUCUGAUCGAGAAAGCAUGCCUAGAAAGCAUACUGUUGACUUCACCAAUGCACCAAUUCAGACAAUUCUUUACCAUAUCAAGAACAACAAUUUCCUAUUUAUUUUAAUUACCAAGUAUCGAGAAAGCAUGCUUUUAACGUUACUGCUUUGCUUUGCUGAGUCCUCGAGUCAUCACAGUUACCACUCAAGAUUCCUGCUCAAUAUUGAUCAGCACGCGGCCCAGGAAAGCUUACGACUUUUCGACCUUGCUCCUUCUCCUUUACGACUUUUCGACAUUGCUCCUUCUCCUUUUUCCGAAGUCAAUAACGAAGAAGUUUCUUUUUUUUUGGGGCUCUAAAAGGAAAGUUCACGACUUUUCGACAUUGCUCCUUCUCCUUUACGACUUUUCGACAUUGCCUUUGGAAUUUUCCGACGUCAAUA